Molecule: long non-coding RNA, 893 nt
Filed under: Heterocephalus glaber (naked mole-rat)
Lineage: Eukaryota; Metazoa; Chordata; Mammalia; Rodentia; Bathyergidae
Description: lncRNA (ENSHGLG00100052491.1)
Source: RNAcentral
CCAGCAAAGGAGUCACAUGAUGGCACUACAAGAAAAAGGUCUGCUGGUGGCUGCCGCAAAUGCUCUAAAUGCAGAUCGAUAAUGCCAGUUUGGACCCAGAGAGCAGAGAGGACAAGAAGGCUGAGUCAGGAGGAGAUCCGGAAAGGCAGUGGUUCGAGAGGAAGGUGUGCAUACAGCUCCUCAGCCUACCUAUCCCCUCAGGCCCACACAAGGAUGCAGAUCAAGCUGCCAGGGAGCCCUUCCUGGGAAACGCAGGAAGAGAAUAAACCAACUGCCAACCUGUCACGGACACAGUUCCUCAUGAGAGCUGGGUGACCAACAAAGCUCCGGCUCUCUGUGACCACAGCCUAGCAUCUCAGCAGGUCCUGACAUGCCUGUCUGGCUUCCAGACUCCCAGACUCUUCCUUCACCUUGCUGAGGUCCAUGCUCCUAGGACAGGGCAUCCUCAUUUUUUUUUGGUUUUUCCUCCUUGUAUUUUUGAGACAGGGUUUCACUGUGUAGUUCUGGCUGGCCUUGAACUCGUACCAAUCCUCCUGCCUCAGGCUCUGGAAUGCUGGGAUUGCAGACAAGCACCAGCUUAGACCCAGCCUCUGGCCUACCGACCAUUCACUAGCUGUGCCACCCUGAGGACUUUAUUAAGCCUGUUGGUGCCAGUUUUGGUGAAGUAAGGAGAAGAAUUCCUGCUUGAAGAAUUGCCGUAUGGAGUAAAGGAGUUACUGGAGGAAAGCGCCAAGCGUCAAGCUUGCCACACAGCAAGCACUCGAUGAAUGACCCGGCACCUGAUCCCCGAACCUCUCCGGCCCCCAUUAUUCCUUAUCAGGUUGGGCUUUGCACCCCAAAACUUCAGUAGGUAGGGCCAGCUCUGUCGCUGAGAACUUUUAUGCGUGAUGUGG